Molecule: long non-coding RNA, 349 nt
Filed under: Elaeis guineensis (African oil palm)
Lineage: Eukaryota; Viridiplantae; Streptophyta; Magnoliopsida; Arecales; Arecaceae
Description: long non-coding RNA (EGUI_LNC039721)
Source: RNAcentral
CAUACCUUACCGACUGGUUUAACAUCGAUGGCACACCCAUGCAUGCAUCUACCCCUUGCCCGAACAAGCUUGGGCUCACCCUUUGCCAACAAAUUGAGUUCUUUGGGAUCUUCAGUUCUCUGGCUCAUCUAGCAUAGCAUGGAAAGGGUGGCUUCAAGCUUUCUAGCCUGCUUGGUGGGAUUACUGCAUAACUGCCAUUAUGCUGCCAAGGAAGAAGGUAGAAGUUUCAAUAGCUAGACAACCACGAAAUCCAUCAUUUCACAUCGAGUUGUCUCUAUAUUCUCAACCAGGGCCGACUAGAUUGCAUUCCCCAACCCUGCGAAGUGCUGAAGACUUCGACGAAGUGCUG